This 409-nucleotide ribosomal RNA is filed under the name Brucella melitensis. Its description in RNAcentral is "partial 16S ribosomal RNA". It matches the Rfam family "Bacterial small subunit ribosomal RNA", at positions 355 to 776 of the family's 1533-position model. The record is from RNAcentral. Lineage: Bacteria; Pseudomonadati; Pseudomonadota; Alphaproteobacteria; Hyphomicrobiales; Brucellaceae. RNAcentral also lists the same sequence under 1 other name.
UGGGGAAUAUUGCACAAUGGGCGAAAGCCUGAUGCAGCGACGCCGCGUGAGGGAUGACGGCCUUCGGGUUGUAAACCUCUUUCAGCAGGGACGAAGCGCAAGUGACGGUACCUGCAGAAGAAGCACCGGCUAACUACGUGCCAGCAGCCGCGGUAAUACGUAGGGUGCAAGCGUUGUCCGGAAUUACUGGGCGUAAAGAGUUCGUAGGCGGUUUGUCGCGUCGUUUGUGAAAACCAGCAGCUCAACUGCUGGCUUGCAGGCGAUACGGGCAGACUUGAGAACUGCAGGGGAGACUGGAAUUCCUGGUGUAGCGGUGAAAUGCGCAGAUAUCAGGAGGAACACCGGUGGCGAAGGCGGGUCUCUGGGCAGUAACUGACGCUGAGGAACGAAAGCGUGGGUAGCGAACAGG